CCUGCCCGCCUCAGUCGCUCCCUCCGGCCGGACCCGGUUCCGCCGCACCCCCGCGACGCCCCCCGCUCUCAUCGGGCAGCUCUCCGGGCCACGGCCGCCGCCGUCAUCACACCCCCCACCCCGCCCCCUUCUGAGACGCUCCGGUUGGGGGUGACCCGCACCGCAGCGCCCGGGCCUGCCCGUCGCUCCGCCCAAAGGCCCGUCCGGUGACAGUCGCGACCGCCGGAGGUGGCGGCGGAGGAGGAGGCCGGAGCCGGGAUGUCCGGGCAACAGCAACAACAGCCGCCGCCGCAGCUCCCCUUGGCGUCUGCCGCUCCCCCGCCGGGGAUCCCCUCUGCCGCCGCCGCCAACCCCGGCCCCGCACCGGCCGCCACGCUCCUGCUCCACCCGCCGCCGGCCACCGCUGCGCCGCCGCCACCCCCCGCCGCCAGCAGCGGGCCCGCAGCGACGGGGAGCGGCGGUACCGGCGCGGCGAUGGGCCUGCCGGCGGGGAGCAGCAGCGGCACCAGCGCCCCGGCGCCGUUCCCGCACGGCGACCCGGCCCUGAACGAGCAGGAGAAGGAGCUAAAGCGGCGGCUGAAGAGGCUCUACCCGGCCGUGGACGAACAGGAGACGCCGCUGCCCCGCUCCUGGAGCCCGAAGGACAAAUUCAGUUACAUCGGCCUUUCCCAGAACAACCUGCGGGUACACUACAAAGGUCAUGGAAAAACUCCAAAAGAUGCUGCUUCUGUUCGAGCUACCCAUCCUAUACCUGCAGCCUGUGGCAUAUACUAUUUUGAAGUUAAAAUUGUCAGUAAGGGAAGAGAUGGUUACAUGGGAAUUGGACUUUCGGCACAGGGUGUGAACAUGAACAGACUACCAGGUUGGGAUAAACAUUCGUAUGGUUACCAUGGAGAUGAUGGACAUUCAUUUUGUUCUUCUGGAACUGGACAACCCUACGGUCCAACAUUUACUACGGGUGAUGUCAUUGGUUGUUGUGUCAACCUUAUCAAUAAUACCUGCUUCUACACAAAGAAUGGCCACAGCUUGGGCAUCGCUUUCACAGAUUUACCGCCAAACUUGUAUCCCACAGUAGGGCUUCAAACACCAGGAGAGGUUGUGGAUGCUAAUUUUGGACAACACCCAUUUGUAUUUGACAUUGAAGACUAUAUGAGAGAAUGGAGAACCAAAAUUCAAGCACAGAUUGACAGAUUUCCAAUAGGAGAUCGUGAAGGAGAGUGGCAAACAAUGAUUCAGAAAAUGGUGUCAUCUUACUUAGUUCACCAUGGAUACUGUGCAACAGCAGAGGCAUUCGCCAGAUCCACAGACCAGACUGUGCUAGAAGAAUUAGCUUCCAUUAAAAAUAGACAAAGAAUUCAGAAAUUGGUUUUAGCAGGAAGAAUGGGAGAAGCCAUUGAAACAACACAACAGUUGUAUCCAAGUUUACUAGAAAGAAAUCCUAAUCUCUUAUUUGCAUUAAAGGUGCGCCAGUUUAUAGAGAUGGUGAAUGGUACAGACAGCGAAGUGCGGUGUUUGGGAGGCCACAGUCCAAAAUCUCAAGACAGUUACCCUGUUAGCCCACGCUCAUUCAGUAGCCCUAGCAUGAGUCCCAGCCAUGGAAUGAAUAUUCACAAUUUGGCAACAGGCAAAGGGAGCAGCGCACACUUUUCUGGGUUUGAAAGUAGUUGCAGUAAUGGAGUAAUAUCAAAUAAAGCACAUCAGUCUUAUUGUCACAAUAAACACACGACCACCAGCUUGAAUGUACCAGAGCUCAACAACAUAAAUGUAUCAAGAUCACAGCAGGUUAACAGCUAUUCCAGCAAUGAUGUAGACAUGGAAACAGAUCACUACUCCAAUGGGGUUGCUGAGACUUCAUCCAAUGGCUUCCUAAAUGGUAGUUCUAAACAUGAUCACGAAAUGGAAGAAUGUGACACAGAAAUGGGUCUGCAGUGAUAUUUCUUACAUUUUUAUUAAGUGAUGGCAACAAGAAGUAGAUUCAAGCCAGUUAAGACGUCAGCUGUGUGGUGGCAGCCAAGCGGCUAUUGAAAGAAUGAUCCAUUUCGGAAGAGAAUUGCAAGCAAUGAGUGAGCAACUAAGAAGAGAAUGUGGCAAAAACACAGCAAAUAAGAAAAUGCUGAAGGAUGCAUUCAGUUUACUUGCAUAUUCCGAUCCCUGGAGCAGCCCUGUCGGAAACCAGCUUGACCCGAUACAAAGAGAACCUGUGUGCUCUGUACUGAAUAGUGCAAUACUAGAGACUCACAAUCUGCCAAAGCAACCACCACUCGCCCUAGCGAUGGGACAAGCAUCACAGUGUCUAGGAUUGAUGGCUCGAUCAGGAAUCGGAUCCUGCGCGUUCGCCACAGUGGAAGACUACCUACACUAGCUAUGCAUUUGAAGAUCUGAAAGGUGGUGUGGCAUAUUCAACAUGGAAAGUAGUCCAGCUCUGCUGACUGGAAUUUGGAAUUUUAAUUAUGUACUAAGGACAAGUCUGUCGCUUUAUGUUGCUUCCUAGUUUACAGCAUGAUGCAAAUGAUUUCUAACUUAGUGUUAGGAGAAAAUUUCCAUCUUCAGACCUCUUAGACAGCUAAGAGUUGAAAAUAUCACUGAUAAUGUCAGACAUCCAAACUGACAAGAACCAAUCCUUUGAACGAUUGUCCAAAACAAACCAAAAAUCCUGCUACCUUGUGGUGGGACGGACUAGAAAACCUGGAUCUAUUUAGCAUGUGGGUGACGUCAAUGUCAAAGCAGGAUGACUUGCCAACCUCCACCCCCAUUGUUACAUAGUUCAAUCAGUGUAAUUUGCAAAAUGCAUAAACACCUGAUGGUUUGGAUAUAUAGUGUUGAUGGGAAGAAAUGAUAUUUUUUAAUGUGUACUGUAAAACUUGAAUUACUCAGGAGCUGAGUGAAUAUGUUUGUUGCUACUUACAAUCCCAACCUGUUGAUCUUAGUAGUUUUUUGUUUUAACAUGGUCUUUUCAACUUUGUUUCCUUGUUUAACUACAGACAGCUUCUGUUGUGUAGACUCACCAGUUUAACUGUUGUAUUAUAACAGUAUUACAUGUCAACACAGUGUGGUUAUGACCUAUUUAUAUAAAAACCAAAUAUUUAGUCAAUUUACAGUCUUAAUUUAAUCUUUGUACACCUUGCAUUUUUAAAAGUGCUUCAAAUAGUACUAUAUUGCAAUAAAAUGUAGUGAUAUCAUAAUUAACCAGCCAUUAAAAACUUACUUCUACAUA
Molecule: RNA transcript, 3214 nt
Organism: Columba livia (rock pigeon)
Lineage: Eukaryota; Metazoa; Chordata; Aves; Columbiformes; Columbidae
Gene: RANBP9
Gene name: RAN binding protein 9
Exons: 14
Source: RefSeq, a predicted model, not a curated record